AAGUCGUAACAAGGUUUCCGUAGGUGAACCUGCGGAAGGAUCAUUAUCGUAUAACAGAGAUGCCCUAGGGCUGUCGCUGACCUUCACAGGUUGUGCACGCCCAAAGGUGCUCUCUUAUAUCCCAUCUCACCCCUUUGUGCAUCACCGCGUGUGCUUCCCCUGUUGGGCUUGUUCCGAGGGGGGGUUCACGUUUUUAUACAAACACCAUUUAUGUAUAGAAUGCCUUACUUUUUGCGAUCAUGCGCAAUCAAUACAACUUUCAACAACGGAUCUCUUGGCUCUCGCAUCGAUGAAGAACGCAGCGAAAUGCGAUACGUAAUGUGAAUUGCAGAAUUCAGUGAAUCAUCGAAUCUUUGAACGUACCUUGCGCCCCUUGGUAUUCCGAGGGGCACACCCGUUUGAGUGUCGUGAACACCCUCAACCUUUUUGGUUUCUUGACCAAGAAGGCUUGGACUUUGGAGGUUUUCCUUGCUGGCCUCCCUUUGAAGCCAGCUCCUCCUAAAUGAAUUAGUGGGGUUCGCAUUGCUGAUCCUUGACGUGAUAAGUAUGCUUCUACGUCUUGGAUUUUGCACCUUUGCCUUGGAACCCGCUUCCAACUGUCUUUGAAUGAAGACAAUGUUUUGAGUUCCAUCGUGACUCAAACUCAGCGACCUUGACCUCAAAUCGGGUGAGACUACCCGCUGAACUUAA
Molecule: ribosomal RNA, 690 nt
Filed under: uncultured fungus
Lineage: Eukaryota; Fungi
Description: eukaryotic LSU rRNA
Rfam family: 5.8S ribosomal RNA (bases 255-408)
Source: RNAcentral